UACGUAGGGUGCAAGCGUUAAUCGGAAUUACUGGGCGUAAAGCGGGCGCAGGCGGCUAUGCAAGACAGAUGUGAAAUCCCCGGGCUCAACCUGGGAACUGCAUUUGUGACUGCAUGGCUAGAGUACGGCAGAGGGGGAUGGAAUUCCGCGUGUAGCAGUGAAAUGCGUAGAUAUGCGGAGGAACACCGAUGGCGAAGGCAAUCCCCUGGGCCUGUACUGACGCUCAUGCACGAAAGCGUGGGGAGCAAACAGG
This 253-nucleotide ribosomal RNA is filed under the name uncultured bacterium. RNAcentral's name for it is "partial 16S ribosomal RNA". It matches the Rfam family "Bacterial small subunit ribosomal RNA", at positions 524 to 776 of the family's 1533-position model. The record is from RNAcentral.